GGCUUCGUGGUUUAGUGGUAUAAUUCUCGCUUAGGGUUACACCCCAAGCUCCGCAUGCGAGAGGUCCCGGGUUCGAUCCCCGGCGAAGCCC
RNAcentral lists this transfer RNA (91 nucleotides) under Claviceps purpurea (ergot fungus). Its description in RNAcentral is "tRNA-Pro". It matches the Rfam family "tRNA". Rfam says of the family: Transfer RNA (tRNA) molecules are approximately 80 nucleotides in length. Their secondary structure includes four short double-helical elements and three loops (D, anti-codon, and T loops). Lineage: Eukaryota; Fungi; Ascomycota; Sordariomycetes; Hypocreales; Clavicipitaceae. The record is from RNAcentral.